Molecule: unclassified non-coding RNA, 929 nt
Filed under: Leishmania donovani
Lineage: Eukaryota; Euglenozoa; Kinetoplastea; Trypanosomatida; Trypanosomatidae
Description: gene:LdHU3.33.2610(CDS-product:hypothetical_prote in_conserved)
Source: RNAcentral
CUAUCAGGCUGCUCUGCACUGCAAGAUGGCAUUCCAGUUUCCACGCGGUGCUGAGUUUCUCUUUGUCACUCAGUAUCUCCUGCAGUUCGAUGACACGGUAAAGUUCAAGCUGAGGCGUGAAGGCCGACGCACCGUGCUGCAGGUUUCCACCGUCAACAUCCCUCCAUUCAGCUACACCACGGUAGACUUUGCCGAUGAGUCUGAGAGGCCGCAAAAGAUUGCUGCAGUGGAACCGCACGCAACUUCGUGGGCUGUGAACGCUGCUUUUUUCACUAGUGUUCUCAGCUGCUUCAGCGGCCUUUUUCCCAUCACUCUCGAGGUUGCUGACGAUCUCUCAUGUGUCCUUCUCUAUCAAAAAAAGGAAGACGACACCGGCGUGCAAGUAGCACAGGUUGGUGCGCUCCACGACCUCGGACCGAAGCUUCUGGUUGAUCACGACGUGGGGGUUCUGUACACCAUUGCCGACGUUCGAAACUUUGGCGACAUUGUCCGUUCAGUCUGUGCUGGGGACGACGAGCGAUGUGACGUGUUUCUUCGACGCGUUUCGUCGACGGAGUGCGAGCUGGGCAUGCAAACGAGCACCGUCACCUCAUCGCUGCAGCUCUUGUUGGAUGAGUGCAAUGGCGUAUCCAAGCGCCUGGAAGGGUCGGCGCGCUGCACUGAUUUGCAAGAGUACGCACGCCUCUGCACACGAAUGACGAAGCUAGCCGACAAGACUUCUCUUAUGGUGGGGUUUGGGUCUGACGGUAUUGCCCUUUUCAGAUUUGAGUGGGUUACAGAGCGAGGCAGCCGCACGGCUGACUUGUUCUUUUGCACCUCCUAGUCCGGCUUCGCCCCGGCACUGGAUUCCUUCUCCCUCCUCGCUCUGUGUCCUAUCGCUUUUCCUAGAGUCUUGUACUACUCUUGAAGGUAAGAAGUCUAUUCUUGAC